Molecule: long non-coding RNA, 1086 nt
Filed under: Phasianus colchicus (ring-necked pheasant)
Lineage: Eukaryota; Metazoa; Chordata; Aves; Galliformes; Phasianidae
Description: lncRNA (ENSPCLG00000005781.1)
Source: RNAcentral
GUUUACUCCACAUGGAAUCCCUGUAUUUUUAUGACAUGUACAGUUGGUUGUAAUGCCACACUACGUAUCAUGUACAACAUCAAAGAGCUAAGUAAGUAUAAAGGUAUGCUGUAUUUCUUCAGUUCAUGUCAACAAAAUCCCUUUCAACCUUGGAUACCUUCUGCUUAAAAAUCUUUAGCUAUUGCUGCGUUUUUAUUUGCAGCAUUUCUGUCCAAAAAUAAUAUUUGUAACAGGAAAAUGGAAUGAUGGAAUGCUUAGGCUGUCUUUUAAAUUUUGUUUUAUUUUAUUUUUGUUACAGUUUUAGAGUAUUUAACUCUUAGCUGUCCUUGGAAAGUAGGCAGGAGUCUCCCAAACUAAAGUGAUGUCUUAGAGUAUAGCAUCAGCUUUCUACUCAGCUACCUUAUUAUCGUUUUUGUCUUAAAUCAGCCUUCUUCCCCCACUAACCAUGACAUUUUCACCAUAUGAGAGGAUAUCUGACAGCAUAUUUGCUGAAGACUUUGGAGACGAUGAUCCAGCUGUCCCCCCCCUCCGCCCAAAUAAGACAAAGGGAACAAUUGUCCAACCUUUACUCCUGUUGAUGGCUAGGUACUUGCCAUUAGCUGGCAAAACAUUUUAGGGAACUGGAAAAGAUUUUGUUUGACAAAACAGUUUAAAAUACUGGUCACAAUUGAAACCAGCUGCUACAGAUACUCGCUUUUGCAGUAGUGUAAUUAUUAUAAUCUUUAAACUUUCUAUAGUGCUGCUACUACGAAGGCAAACGACUUGCAUGCGUUUAUUUUCAUACAGUGUAUCUGAAAUGUGCCUAUCUCUGAGGUGGACAGAUGCCAAUCAGUGCACAAGAGCUGACCCUACUUCGAUUUGUUGUGUACCUUCGUUAUCUGCCCAUUGUAAUGGAAAUCUGCCGCGCAUCAUGGACCCAAAGUGUGGAGCAUCAAGUGUUCACAGCUUCCCAUUGUGAAGUGAAGGUGUUGGGAGCACCUUGCCUUCAGGUGAGAUUAAAGUGCAUUAUCUCGCCUGACUUCCCAAUUGUACCGUUGUCCUGGAUGGUUGUUCCUAUAGAGACUUGAUGUCCCUUGUGUUACUGGC